CUACGGGUGGCUGCAGUGGGGAAUAUUGGACAAUGGGGGAAACCCUGAUCCAGCAAUGCCGCGUGUGUGAAGAAGGCCUGCGGGUUGUAAAGCACUUUCGGUUGGGAGGACUGCUUCUAGCACUAAUAUUGUUGGAAGUUGACGUUACCUUCAGAAGAAGCACCGGCUAACUCCGUGCCAGCAGCCGCAGGUAAUACGGAGGGUGCAAGCGUUAAUCGGAAUUACUGGGCGUAAAGCGCGCGUAGGCGGCUAGAUCAGUCGGGUGUGAAAGCCCCGGGCUUAACCUGGGAACUGCAUCCGAUACUGUCUAGCUUGAGUACAGGAGAGGAGAGUGGAAUUCCACAUGUAGCGGUGACAUGCGUAGAUAUGUGGAGGAACACCAAUGGCGAAGGCAGCUCUCUGGCCUGAUACUGACGCUGAGGUGCGAAAGCGUGGGGAGCAAACAGGAUUAGAUACCCCGGUAGUC
RNAcentral lists this ribosomal RNA (466 nucleotides) under uncultured bacterium. Its description in RNAcentral is "partial 16S ribosomal RNA". It matches the Rfam family "Bacterial small subunit ribosomal RNA", at positions 339 to 795 of the family's 1533-position model. The record is from RNAcentral.